CCUAGCUACGUUGGGAGAGCAGCGAACAGCUCCGUAACACGUAGUUAACCUGCCCUUAGCACGGACAUACUCCCGGGAAACUGGGUCUAACAUCCGAUGGAUGGAAAUGCCUGGAAUGGUUUUCCAUUGAAAGGUUUUCGAGAACAUGCUCUCGAAGAUGGCUAAGGAUGGGACUGCGUCCGAUCAGGUAGUUGGUAGGGUAACGGCCUACCAAGCCGAUAACCGGUACGGGCCCUGAGAGGGGGAGCCCGGAGAUGGAAACUGAGACAAGGUUCCAGGCCCUACGGGGCGCAGCAGGCGCGAAACCUCCACAAUGCGCGAAAGCGUGAUGGGGUUACCCCGAGUGCCGUCCGAUGAGGAGGGCUUUUACUCGGUGUACAAAGCCGGGGGAAUAAAGGGGGGGCAAGACUGGUGUCAGCCGCCGCGGUAAUACCAGCUCCCUGAGUGGUAGGGAUGAUUAUUUGGCCUAAAGCGUCCGUAGCCGGCUUGGUAAGUCCUUCGUAAAAUCCAACGACUCAAUCGUUGGUUCGCGGAGGAUACUGCCAGGCUAGAGGACGGGAGAGGUUGACGGUAGUCCCAGGGUAGGGGUGAAAUCCAAUAAUCCUGGGAGGACCACCAGUGGCGAAGGCGGUCAACAAGAACGUGCCUGACGGUGAUGGACGAAAGCUGGGGGAGCGAACCGGAUUAGACACCCGGGUAGUCCCAGCC
RNAcentral lists this ribosomal RNA (708 nucleotides) under uncultured archaeon. Its description in RNAcentral is "bacterial SSU rRNA". It matches the Rfam family "Archaeal small subunit ribosomal RNA", at positions 54 to 752 of the family's 1478-position model. The record is from RNAcentral.